AGAAAGGCUUAUGGUGGAUAACUAGGUACCCAGAGACGAGGAAGGGCAUAGUAAGCGACGAAAUGCUUCGUGGAGUAGAAAAUAAGCAUAGAUAUGAGGAUUCCUAAUAUAGGUCAACCUUUCGAACUGCAACUGAAUCUAUGGGCAGGCAAGAGACAACAUGGUGAACUAAAACAUCUUGGUAGCCAGAGGAAAAGAAAGCAAAAGCGAUUCCCAUAGUAGCGGCGAGCAAAAUGGGAGCAACCUAAAUCGUGAAAACGGGGUUGUGAGAGAGCUAUACAAGUGUCGUGUUGCUAGGCGAAGCAGCAGAGAAUGCUGCACCCUAAAUGGCGAGAGUUCAGUAGCCGAAAGCAUCACUAGCUUACACUCUGACCCGAGUAGCAUGGGCAUGUGGAAUCUCGUGUGAAUCAGCAAUGACCACCUUGGAAGGCAAAAUACUCCUGGGUUACUGAUAGUGAAGUAGUACCCGUGAGGGAAGGGUGAAAAGAACCCUCAUCGGGGAUUGAAAUAGAACAUGAAACUGUAAGCUCCCAUGCAGUGGGAGGAGGCUCGAGACUCUGAUCGCAUGCCUGUUGAAGAAUGAGUCGGUGACUCAUAGGCAGUGGCUUGGUUAAGGGAAACCACCGGAGCCGUAGCGAAAGCGAGUCUUCAUAGGGCAAUUGUCACUGCUUAUGGACCCAAACCUGGGUGAUCUGUCCAUGACCAAGAUGAAGCUUGGGUGAAACUAAGAGGAGGUCCGAACUGACUAAUGUUGAAGAAUCAGUGGAUAAGUUGUGGUUAGGGGUGAAAUGCCACUCGAACCCAGAGCUAGCUGGUUCUCCCUAAAAUCCGUUGAGGUGCAGUAGUUGACUAGACAUCUAGGGGUAAAACACUGUUUCGGUGCGGGCCAUGAGAGCGGUACCAAAUCGAGGCAAACUCUAAUACUAGAUAUGACCUCAAAAUAACAAGGGUCAAGGUCGGCCAGUGAGACGAUGGGGGAUAAGCUUCAUCGUCAAGAGGGAAACAGCCCAGAUCACCAGCUAAGGCCCCUAAAUGACCGCUCAGUGAUAAAGGAGGUAGGGGUGCAGAGACAACCAGGAGGUUUUCCUAGAAGCAGCCACCCUUGAAAGAAUGCAUAAUAGCUCACUGAUCGAGCGCUCUUGUGCCGAAGAUGAACGGGGCUAAGCGAUCUGCCAAAGCUGUGGGGUGUAAAAAUGAAUCGGUAGGGGAGUGUACCAUCUUAGAGGGAAGGACCCAUGCGAGUAGUGCUGGACGAAGCAGAAGCGGGAAUGUUGGCUUGACUAACGCAAACGUUGGUAAGAAUCCAAUGCCUCGAAAACCCAAGGGUUCCUUCGUAAGGUUCAUCCACGGAGGGUGAGUCAAGGCCUAAGAUCCGGCCGAAGGGCGUAGUCGAUGGACAAAAGGUGAAUAUUCUUGUACUACCCUUUAUUGGACUCGAGGGAUGGAGGAGGCUAGGUUAGCCAAAAUAUGGUUAUCGGUUCAAGGACGCAAGGUGCCCCUGCUUUUUCAGAGUAAUAAGGGUAGAUAAAAUGCGUUGAGCCAAAGUUCGAGUACCAAGCGCUACAGCGCUGAAGUAAUCCAUGCCAUACUUCUAGGUAAAGCUUAAAUGACCUUCAAUAAAUGGGUACUUGUACCCGAAACCAACAUAGGUGGGUAGGUAAAGAAUACCUAGGGGCGCGAGACAACUCUCUCUAAGGAACUCAGCAAAAUAGCCCCGUAACUUCGAGAGAAGAGGUGCCUCCUCACAAAGGAGGUCGUUGUGACUAGGCUCGGGCGAUUGUUUACCAAAAACACAUGUCUCCGCAAAGUCAUAAGACCAUGUAUGGGGGCUGACACCUGCCAAGUGCCGGAAGGUCAAGGAAGUUAGUGACCAGAUGACAGGGGAUCCGAUGACCGAAGCCUCGGUGAACGGCGACCGUAACUAUAACGUCUUAAGGUAGCGCAAUUCCUUGUCAGGUAAGUUCCAACCCGCAUGAAAGGCAUAAUGAUUUGGGCACUGUCUCGGAGAGAGACUCGGUGAAAUAGACAUGUUUGUGAAGAUGCGGACUACCUGCACUUGGACAGAAAGACCAUAUGAAGCUUCACUAUUUCCUGGGAUUGGCUUUGGGCUUUUCCUGCGUAGCUUAGGUGGAGGGCAAAGAAGGCUUCUUUCUUAGGGGGGGGGGGGCGAACCAUUAGUGAGAUACCACUCUAGAAGAGCUAGAAUUCUAACCUUGUUCCAGGACCUACGAGCCGAGGGAUAGUCUCAGGUAGAUAGUUUCUAUGGGGCGUAAGCCUCCCUAAAGGUAACGGAGGCAUGCAAAGGUUUCCUCAGGCCAGACGGAGUUUGGCCCUCGAGUGCAAAGGCAGAAGGGAGCUUGAUUGCAAGACCCACCCGUCGAUUAUGGACAAAAGUCGGUCUUAAUGAUCUGACGAUGCCGAGUGGAAGGGCCAUCGCUCAAUGGAUAAAAGUUACUCUAGGGAUAACAGACUGAUCUUCCCUAAGAUCUCACAUGGAUGGGAAGGUUUGGCACCUCGAUGUCGGCUCUUCGCCACCUGAGGCUGUAGUAUGUUCCAAGGGUUUGGUUGUUCGCCCAUUAAAGCGGUACGUGAGCUGGGUUUAGAACGUCAUAAGAUAGUUCGGUCCAUAUCCGAUGUGGGCUUUAGAGCAUUGAGAGGACCUUUCCCUAGUAUGAGAGGGUCGGGAAGGACGCACCUCUAGUGUGCCAGUUAUUGUACCCACGAUAAACACUGGGUAGCCAAGUACGAAAUGGAUAACUGCUGAAAGCAUCUAAGUAGUAAACCCACCCCAAGAUGAGUGUUCUUCUAUCCCGACUUCCCCAGAGCCUCCGAUAGCACAGCCGAGACAACGAUGGAUUCUCUGCCCCGGCAGGGAUGGAGCGAAAGAAGUUUUGAGAAUUCAAGAGAAGGUCAAGGCGAGACGAAAAUAUGAUGUAUGUUUUGUUUUUCCAUUGUUACAUUUUGACCUGCUUAAUAAUUAUCGACUGUUACAUAAAUU
This 2998-nucleotide ribosomal RNA is filed under the name Glycine soja. RNAcentral describes it as "bacterial LSU rRNA". It matches the Rfam family "Bacterial large subunit ribosomal RNA". The record is from RNAcentral. Lineage: Eukaryota; Viridiplantae; Streptophyta; Magnoliopsida; Fabales; Fabaceae.